RNAcentral lists this long non-coding RNA (1866 nucleotides) under Equus asinus (donkey). Its description in RNAcentral is "lncRNA (ENSEASG00005023793.1)". The record is from RNAcentral. Lineage: Eukaryota; Metazoa; Chordata; Mammalia; Perissodactyla; Equidae.
ACUGAGCCCGUGCACAGGAAGGAAACGGUCAGGUUCAGAGACCAAAACAUCUGUCCCUGUGCAUCUUGUAGAGUUGGGGAACUGGGACUCCUGUGACCCAUGUAGAUACAGUGCUUCCCUCUGACUCGAAGGGUUUGGCCCCCGACCCCGGAACGGCCUGAAGCUUGGACUGUCGGCCCUGCCCUUCUUCUGGGCUGGGAGAAAGGGCAGGCAAGAGGCCUUGGGGGUUGGGGCGGGAGACCGAAGGUGGAGAUGUGCCGCUGUGUACAGCCGACUUGCCUGCCCAUCACCCAAACACCAAGUUCCGCUCGCAGAGGAAGUGAGAGGUGUCCGAUUCGGUCUCCCAGAACGCAGCUGGGCUGCCUGAAACGAGCGCCGCGGCGACUCUGAAGGAGGUGUCAUCCCUGGGCCAGUACAGGAUUGAGUCACAGCAGCCGCCACUCCUGCGUCAAAAAUACUGGGCCAUUGUCCCAGGGAGUUUGGCCCCUCAGUCAAGUCAUUUCCGACCCGCAACCUGGAAUCCCAAUGAAGGAAAAAGGGGAGGAAAAGAAGCGGAAACCAGGAUGGCUAAGCAAGCCGAGGAAGACGAGCCCCGGCCAGCUGGAGUAGCACCUGAGUGUGCGACCCCACCCCCCACUGGGGCAUCUUCUCCUUGGUUACAUUCCAGACCCGGAAGCGAAUCCCGGCUGUAUGGUGUCCAAAGACCUACAAUCUGGGGGCAUUCCUUAAUAAAAAGAAUCCAAGAUUCUGAAAACAAACUUAAGUACAAAAGACACUCCCAGCAUCUCCCUGCUCUCACAGGGCCCCGGAAGCUCGUGUCCAGUCAGCUUUACGGACUGGAGGCUGGAGAUCCAAGACCAGGGUGCCAGCAUGGUCGGGUUCUGGUGAGAGCCCUCUUCCGGUUGCAGACUGUAGACUUCUCAUUGCAUCCUCUCAUGUGGUAGAAGUAAAUAGGACCUCACAAUGCACCUCUUACCCAGAGAGGCACGAUGAUUGUCUAAGAACACAGGCAAGCUGGCCGAGGCUGUCGGAUGGCGACCUGUGCUCUGAGGCUUUCCUGGGCUUCACUACAGGGGGGAAGAGCGACAUCCAGCGACCCUGAGCUCAGGGACCAAGCUGCCUUGCCGAUGACAAGUGGUACCACAGAGGCCUCAGCUGCAACUGUUAGUUUCUGAAAGGAGGAACAUGAAGAAGGCCUGGCUCCCUCUCUGCCAAGGUCAGUGAGAGCUUUGGGCUGAUUUCAGCAGCAUGAGUACCCGACUUCAAAUGAAGGAAACCACAUGUGGAGCCAUGCUGAGUGGAAGGGACUUUAGAGGGCAUCUGGCUCAAUCCUCUCCAUUUACAGAUGAGGGACCCUGAGGUCCAGAGAGGUUAAGUGACUUGCCUAGGAUCACACAGCUAGUCACCUCCAGUGCUGAAACUGAAACCCAGGCCUCUUGAUUCCUUAGCUAUUUUUUUAAAAAAAUUUUAAAUUGAAGCAUACAUACGGAAAAGUGUACAUAUUGUAAGUGUACAGCUUGAAUUGCUAUCUUUAAAUGAACACAUCCAAGCAACCACCACCCGAGUCAAGAAAUAGACCAUCUCUAGAACCCCAGAAGCCCCCCUGAUGCUCCCCUUCCAUUCAGUACAAACUCUCUCCUCCUCAAGGUAACCAUGAUCCUGACUUCUAACACCACAGAUUACUUUGCCUUGGCCCAUGUUCUUUGAGUAAAAAACUGUUUUAUGCGGAGUUCAGCUAUUUGGACCUAAAAAAAUGAAUCUUCUGUUUUCUUGGAAUAUUUUAAAUGGUGUAUUAAGAAAGCAUAUUCCGAAAGGAAACCCCAUACUCAUUAAAGAGUAUGAUGUCUCCCUUAGGGGGUGAUAAAA